RNAcentral lists this long non-coding RNA (6335 nucleotides) under Marmota monax (woodchuck). Lineage: Eukaryota; Metazoa; Chordata; Mammalia; Rodentia; Sciuridae. The record is from RNAcentral.
CCUCCCUACACCGAGGCAGCUGGGAGCAGGCCCAAGCUUCGCAGCUCUCUGAGCAGGCCCUGCUUGUCUCUCCACCUGAGGGCCGUGUCCUCUGUGGCAUGGACCGGCAGCAGCAGAGCUCAGGGCAAAGUGGAGGACAGGAUGUAACCAGGAGGUGAGCAGGCUCCCUGGGGGGCACUGGGCAGAGUCUCACAGGUGGGCCCAGCCCCUCGGCAGAGGCAGAGUCCUCCCAACAGCCCGAGGUAUGCAGGAGAGCCACCCCAGGCACACCCGGCUGGGACACUUCACCCAGGCAGAUCCCCAGGGCAGGACCUGAGGACGGACCCCAUCUGGGGUCUCAGGAUCAUAGGAGCCCUUCCUACCCCUGGUCACUCUGAGCCCUGACCCUGGUCACACUGAGCCCUGAUCCUGGUCACUCUGAGCCCUGACCCUGGUCACACUGAGCCCUGAUCCUGGUCACACUGAGCCCUGACCCUGGUCACUCUGAGCCCUGACUCUGGUCACUCUGAGCCCUGACCUCACUGCAUACGCCACUGGCACAGGCCUUGGCCUCAAGGGCCUGGCUCUGAGAAGCAGAGGUCCACAGUGUGGCCACUGGGCUCACUCGUGGCAGGGUACGGCCUGGGCCUCCACAGUGGUCCCCACACUGUCCUGGGCCCAGCUCCAUCCUGGGUCUGCGCCCUGCCCUGCCCACCUACCCGUGCUCUGCGUCCCGCUGGAGGGCCGGGCAGAGUGACUCAGCAGGCUCCUCCUAGCUUUAUUUUUGUCUCCAUGGAGCCCUAUAAAUACAGCAAUGGUUGCUGUCAAUAUCCCCAUGUCUCCGCCCCUGCUGCUGGCCCGAUGCCAGGGGGUGGUGUGGAGCCAGGUCAGGGUGGACCUGAGGCAGAGGCCAGGUGCUCCUGGGAGGCAGAGAGCCUCAGCCUGGACCCACUGGUGACCCGCGCCCUUGGUGCCCUUGGCACUCUUGGUUACAGAGCAAAGCACAAGUCACGCGUUUCCUCAUGCUGGAGACGCAACAUCUUCCUGCCUGAGAAGUGAGGGGACCGUCCAGGUGUGUGUGGUCCAGCCCCCACCAUGUCCUCUUCGGAAGGGGCGGGCUUUGCUGGUGUCCUGGCUGCUCCCAGUGCAGAGCUGCAUGGAUGACAUGGAUGACGAGCCCAAGGGCUUGGGGUGAAGGGGCGGCGUGGGGUGGGGGCACUGCAGUUCAUCAGAGUACUCCCUGCCCUCCGUGGCCUGGCACCAGGACAAGGCAGGGACAGUCCCCAGCCACCUGUGGACCAGAGGCCUCCCACACCUGUCAGGCACAGGAGGAAAGUGGAGGAUGGCAACCCUGGAGAGGCUGGCAGAGGCCCUGCAGUGGGACCCAACCCUCGUGGCACUGAUGCCUGUGCCAAGCCCACAUGUGCAGUCUCGGGUGCCAGUUCCCUACCAGGAGCUGAGGCCCGAGAGAUGGAGCCACUGGCUCAGGUUGCAUGGUGAGGAGGCUGGGCCCUGUACCCAGGCCUCCUCCACCCCCUGAGGACAAGGCUCCAGCACCCCUGAAGCCACAGCUGGCCUGGGGCCAGUGCGGUCACUCAGCAUAGGCCAGAUGCUGCCAUGCUGGGCGCUCCUGAGCCUCUGCCCACGAGGCUUGGCAGCCUCCCUCCUGGCCCCUUGUGCCCUCUACCCACCUGGGAAUCAGCAGACACAGGUCUCUGUGCUAGAAGAUGGCACCUCGCCAACACCUCCAGGUGGGUCACACCCUCGAGUCCUAGGUGAGGGAUGGAGGGGAGGUUGGGGUACGCUGGUGCGCUUGUAAAGCCAAAAAGGCGGGAGGUCAGGAGCCAGGGAACAAGAAGGAGGCACCCAAAGGAGGUUUGCUAGGGGUGCUCCUGGGCGAGGUGCGCCAUCUGCAAGGGGGUGGGGGCGGAGAAGACGGGGUGGGAAAGGCAGGAAUAGUGCUAAUAAGGGAAACCAGGGGUGGGGGUCUGGGACAGCAGGUUGGCCCAGCCGGGUUUAGGGACAUUGUCUGUCGCGGUUGGGUCAGGCCUGAUGUAAGGUGACAGGGCGAUUGCUUCAGCUGGCGGGAACCCUGAUGAUUGGGGUCGGUUGUCAGGUCAGCUUCUGAUUGGCCAAUGUGGGUCUUAGCCAGGUGGAAAGUCCCGCCCACAGCUGCCAUGGAAGGAAAGAGGGAAGGGACGGCUUUGAGCCAACACCACUGGGUCUCAGCUCAGAGAAGGCUCUAGGCCCUGCUGUGCAGCCCCACAGGGUGCAGAGGAGCUAAGAGGCCCCGUGGCCCUCGGUGGGUGGACGUGGUGAGCCCCUGCCCUGCCCUGCUGGGCUUCCCUGGGGCUGCUCUGGCUCCAGCUUAGGGCAUUGUGGCCAGUGGGCCCUGCACCUGUCCUGCCUGGUGACAGGGGCACCUUGAAAGAACAGGGCUCCUCAGGACCCUCUCGCAGCUGCCCACUUCACACCUGGGGAGCAGGCCAGGUGCAUGCUGGCUGCAAGACCCAGCUGCUCCAGGUCAGGGUGCAGACAGAUGGUUAAGGGGCGGGGGUGGGACACUGAGUCAUACUCUGCUUCUCCAAGUGGCACUCUCACCAGGGGACCAGGGGCUGUCUGUCCUGACCACCAGCCAGUGGACCCAGAUCUGCCACCCUGCAGGUGACACUGACCAUUAAGAGACAGAACCACUGCCAAAGCCCCCCUUUGCAGAUGGGGAAGGACUAGGAAAUGCCAAUGGUGCUGAGGACCCGGGGCUGCUCGGUGCGGCUGGGUUGGGACCCCCUGGCCUCCCUUCCCAACACUGAAUACCAUCUGGGGCUCGGUCCCCUAGUCUGGGGCAGGGACUUGUUUCUCCCAUGGCCCUGCUGGGCCAGGCACAGAGCAGAUGCUCUGCUGGGUGGAGCUGUGCUCGUCUGCCCCAGGGACCCGCUAUACUGCCUGCCCCUACUAAACUGGGGCACCUUCUCCUUUGUAAUAUCUGUGGGCUCUUUUCCUCCCACCCUGGUGAAAAUAGAGGGCCAUGCGUGGUCAUCUGCAUGGCCAAUGCCAGGCCAGCUUCCCACAAAAUGCCCCAUGCCCCUCUCACUCUGACUACUCCCUGCAGACUGGCAAGGGAGCAGCCCCCUGCUGCCCAGUCUAGAUGACCUAAUCAUGGCUCCCAUCACAUCCUAGGGGCCAGAAGUACUUGUCCAUCCAGGCGCCAGGGAUAUCCUGUUCCCUUGCAGGGGGCCCAUCAAGCUCAGAAGGCGAAGGCUUUUAGGAUCAGGAAAACUGUCCCUCAGCCUCACCCAUUUGUUCCUUGAACCAUUUUCUAAUCCAGGGGCAAAUGUCAGGGGUAGUAAAGGGACAGUUGGGGUCUCUGGUCCAGAGAGAGAUAGCACAGCUGGGGGAGCAGAUGGGACACCAAGGGUAGGGGAGGUACUGUCUGAAGCAGUAGGGACCUCCGCCCCUGGGGUCUUUCCGCAACCUGGUGAGGAGGGAGCACCUUAGACUGGAGCCAGGAGCACCAGUUCUGCCCCUACUGCUCAGUGACCUUGUGAGCCACUUCCUGCUCCAGACCUUGGUCUCCUCCAGGUGUUCUGGGGAUCUCCAAGCUCCUUUCUGGCUCAGCCUCUGGAAUCCGUCGUUCAUUCACUCCACAGUUACAUAAUAAAAAAUAACAGGUGUCAGUUGCCACCAAGGAUACCCAGUUUGGGGUGGGUGACAGUGUGGAGCAGGUGGCAGGCGAGAGAGCUAGCUGCUGUGAGCGAGGUUGGGACCCUGGGCAGGAUGGGAUCCCAGCAUGACAGGUGGCCUGGGGCAGCUGCUGGUGGGCCUUGUGCGUCCGGCCAAGUCAGAGGAGGUGCUGAGGCGAGCUGCGCAGGGUCCCAUGUGAGCAGGACGGUGCUCUGCACAGGAAAGGCAGGAGACCGGAGGCAGCCUCUGCUACCGCAAUGAUCCCUCCUACUUCAUCAGCCAGGAGGUGGGAACCUCACGGUCGAGUUGUGCCCACUCAGCACUGUCCUGAGCUUUCGGCUGGGCUGUGUGCUUGCUGGGGAGGAAGCCCCUGGAAGUACAAACUGUUGUGAUUUUGCAAAAUGCUUCUCUCUCUGAUUUUUAUCUUCACUCAUUAGCAUCUCAUUACCACUUCCCUGUGUGCAGUGGUAGGGGUGCUUCCAAUUCCUGAGGUGGGUACGGGUUGACUUGUGACAGUGAAGUCAGCUCUUGGACCCUGAGUUUGCUGGGGCGGGGGCUGGGACUUAGGGUGGAGCUCAGUGGUAGAGCUCUUCAAUCCCUAGCACUGAGGGAAAAAAAAGACUCUGCUUGUGCAGGACUGCAUUGUGCUCACCUAGAGGGAGUGGAAAGGGAAAGAAACAGAGAGGGCUGGGGUAGAUCCACACUGUUCCUCUUGGCAAACUCCUACUGAUCCUUCAGCACCCAGUCCAAAUGCCUCUUCUCUGGGAAACUUCUCCAGUUCUUGGAGAGAAUAUGGCAUUUCCUCAUACAACCUUCUAACGACAGACUUGUGGCCCAGUAAGUGAUUCCUUUGGAUCAUCUGUCCUCUCUUGCUCCUUGAUACCCUGAGGGCAUUGUCCCAUGUUUUUAGCUCUGGUGACUGGCAUUGAUGCUUGAAGUCUACUCAAGGGCUGGGGAUGUGGCUCAAGCGGUAGCACACUCGCCUAGCACUCGCCUGGCAUGCGUGUGGCCCGGGUUCGAUCCUCAGCACCACAUACAAACAAAGAUGUUGUGUCUGCCGAAAACUAAAAAAAAAAAAAAAAAAAAAAAAAAAAAAAGAUAAAUGAAGUCUACUCAAGAUAUGACACAUACGCCCUGGGGUACCCAUUGUGGCUCACAUGGUUCCAGGGCUCUCAGUGGGCCUGGCCGUGUGCAAAGGGAUCUUUAGGUCUCUCUGGCACUCGAACCUCAUGUCAGCUCCAUAGCAAUGGCAGCUCCACAGUCUGCCCAUACAGGUGAGGAAGUGGCUGUUCAGGGCAGACGUCUGAUGUGCAGGUCACUAAGCAGGACACUGUGGGAGCAGGGGUCACGGCACUUCUUGCCCUGCAAGGGUUGGCUGGUGGCUCAGCUGGAGGAAGUGGAAGAGCAGGAAAGGGGGAGAUGCAGCCAUCUCUCCCAAAGAGAGAGGAAUAAUACACCCUGAUUCCAGGGCACCUUGGAAGAACUGGGGUUGGAGACACUGGCUAAAUUAAUCCUGGUGAGAAGAUGCUAGUCCUCGGCCCUUCAUGAACCAGACGCUCCUGCACCAGGACCGUGAGAAAGAGGGCUUGCCCUACUCAGCCCUCCCCCUGAGCACUCACCAGGUUCCCUGAAGGAGUCCAGAGCUCAAGAACAGCCUUCCCCUCCAUUUCUGCUCCCCACCCAGGGAUAAGGUGCAUCAUUGCCUGCAGACCUGGGUUGCCCACAGGAGAUGUAGAAGGUAGCUGCUGUCUCUCCUGAGCCCUGUGGCACUGCCUGCCAUUUGCAUCUUCUCCUCCCCCCUCACCUUCCAGCUCCCACUCAUUGGUCCUCUGUGAUGGAGAGUCCCCUCCUUCCUGAGCCCAUAAGUGGAUGCCUGGAGCUCAGGAAGAUGGAUUUUAUGAUUUGGAUAUAAGGUGUUCUCCAAAAGCUCCUGCAUUAAUGCAGGAAUGUGAAAUGAUUGGAGUGUGAGAGCUAUAAGCUAAUCAGUGCAUAGUUUGAAUGGGACUGACUUGGAGGUAUGUGGGGAGCCACUCUGAUUGACCCAUGCCUGAGGCCCUGACCGAUCACUACAUUUCGUAGUGACUUGAGCGUUGUCCCAGAUCAGGAAGUUGAGGGCAUGUCUUCAGAUGUAGGUGUGUCACUCAUGGGCUUGAGCUACACUCACCUGUUAUUUUGUAAUCCUACCCCUUUGCCCUGUUUGGGAUAGAAUGUUCCAUGGAAACUCCCUUUGUGUGUCCCCUUCUCUUGCUCUGCCUUUGGGUGUGGCCUUCCUAGAUGUCAGUCAACCUGCUGACAGCAGACAUCACAAGGCUAGACUCAACCCCCUGAAACCUGGCCCCUUGCCUCAUUUGAAUGGCUUCUCCUCAAUAAAAGGGCUCAGCUCGCACGCUCUCUCCCUCUCUCUCUCUCUCUCUCUCUCUCUGCAGACCCCUAAGGUCAGAGGAGCCGUCACAGGACCCAAAGGAAAAGGAAUCUCUGUCUCUUGUGUGAUUAUUUCGUGCAGCCCAGUUCCUCUGGAGUGACCCUGGGUGUUAGUCUCGAGGAAUGUGACGGAGGUGACUGUCGGCAGAUGGGGUGUGGCUGGAGGAGUCAAAAACUGAGAUGUGCCCUAGAAGAGGGCGUCUUCCUUGCAGCUCCUUACCUCUCCCCAUCUCUCCUCCUGACCCUGACAGGAG